Amphiprion ocellaris (clown anemonefish) is the source of this 1000-nucleotide long non-coding RNA. The record is from Ensembl. NCBI's taxonomy places the organism in Eukaryota, Metazoa, Chordata, Actinopteri, Pomacentridae.
AAAGGGACUGGGCAUUUAUUGCAUGUGUGCAGCCGGUGUGUUUCAUUGGUGUCUUUAUCAUGAUCAGCAUCUUUUAAUGCAAUAACAUUGUGCUGGUCAAUUUAGGGGGCAGUGCCACCCCAAGGUCACCACGUGAACAUGUUUACUUAAGUCUGGUGUUUGUGCGUCACUGUCUGAACAGGCUUAUAAAGAAGAACUCUCAAAGGCGCUCAAAGGCACUCAAUUUUUCUCCUCUGAGACGAAAAAAACAGUAACAAACAGCCAAGAUGAGACUGUACCUCGCGGUUGCCGUGCUGCUGCUGGCUUUGGUCGCAUUUGCAGAGGCUCAGGAUGAUAACGUGCAGCAGAAGUUAAGCGAGUUGGGCGAACAGAUCACCGAGGUGGGAAAGAAAGCGUCUGAGAAAUUGAACGAGUUUGCUGGCAGGGCCAGGUAUGUGCGCGCGCGCGCGCGCACGCACGCACGCACGCACACACACACACACACACACACACACACACGCUCACUCAAGCGCAAUUUGCAGAUUUACGCAGAGUAUCACACGCAGUCUUUGGCUCUGUGUAACACCUGAUUAUUCUCCUCAGGGACUGGGGCAGUGACCUGUUUGAGAAAGUGAAGGCCGGGUGGGGACAACUUACGAAUUAGACGAGGAGACUUGCCCCUGUCACCAGCCUGAACCUGCCCUCACCUCUGACAUCUGACUUCUUCACCAUUCAUGGUGGGAGGCUGAUAUGUCAACAGGACACAUUGUUCUGCAGAUUGACUUGUCCAAAUGGUUACAUUGUCUCUCUGUAAGGAUUUUUUUGUUGUUGUUGAGUGUACUGUUAAUUUGUGUAAACUGUGAAAAAAGUGCAAUAAAGACAUAAAAAGUAUUUUUAAUUACAAAUUCUUUGUCAUCGUCUCUAUUAAUGAAUAAGAACAAUGUCUGUACUCGAUUACAGCAUUUUGAAAGUCUGUUAAAUAUGUUUGACAUAAAUAAAUGAAAUUUAGUUCUCUUUGACC